This 77-nucleotide transfer RNA is filed under the name Escherichia coli 3431. RNAcentral describes it as "tRNA-Ala". It matches the Rfam family "tRNA". From Rfam's summary of the family: Transfer RNA (tRNA) molecules are approximately 80 nucleotides in length. Their secondary structure includes four short double-helical elements and three loops (D, anti-codon, and T loops). Further hydrogen bonds mediate the characteristic L-shaped molecular structure. tRNAs have two regions of fundamental functional importance: the anti-codon, which is responsible for specific mRNA codon recognition, and the 3' end, to which the tRNAs corresponding amino acid is attached (by aminoacyl-tRNA synthetases). tRNAs cope with the degeneracy of the genetic code in two manners: having more than one tRNA (with a specific anti-codon) for a particular amino acid; and 'wobble' base-pairing, i.e. permitting non-standard base-pairing at the 3rd anti-codon position. The record is from RNAcentral. Lineage: Bacteria; Pseudomonadati; Pseudomonadota; Gammaproteobacteria; Enterobacterales; Enterobacteriaceae.
GGGGCUAUAGCUCAGCUGGGAGAGCGCCUGCUUUGCACGCAGGAGGUCUGCGGUUCGAUCCCGCAUAAGCUCCACCA